RNAcentral lists this small RNA (63 nucleotides) under Bacillus sp. OV322. Its description in RNAcentral is "Bacillaceae-1 RNA". It matches the Rfam family "Bacillaceae-1 RNA". The record is from RNAcentral. Lineage: Bacteria; Bacillati; Bacillota; Bacilli; Caryophanales; Bacillaceae.
UUCAGAGGAUCAAAGACUAAUAAUGCCGCGUCCUGCGGCGUCUUUGUGAACCUGUCCUGGGGG